ACCACGUGAUCAUCCACAAGAGCAGUGCAGGUUCGCUGAGAUAAGUAGGAACUGCCGAUGACGGAGAUUCCGAGACACUGAGGUGUAGAGCUGGGUGAAUAUAACAGGCCAAGAAGUAUCAGAGGAGCAGGAAAGCUGACGUUUUGUGCCUGGUCCCUUCGCUGAGACUAAGGUUUGUGCAAUUGAGAUACCAGCGAUCGUUGCCAAAGCCCUGUUACCUGUGGAGAAGGUCAUGUUUAACUUUUCCUGUGCUGCUGCAGUUCGUAUGAUGAAGGUGCUCCCACAAUUGUGGUCAUUUGAGAAGUUACAGAUCAUUCAUCUAGCGAUACUGAAGAGCUGAUGGUGAUAUUACAAGUGGACUUUCAGGUGGGGAAACUCAAUAAUUGUAACCCCAAACUCUGACAGAGUUCCUCACUUCAUCAACAUCUGGAUAUUUGCAUUGUGUAUUUCCACAAUUUUACUUCUGCACUGUUCUUAACCUUUUGAUCCCUCUGAAAUACUGAGUUACAAUGCCUGCCCUUCCUCCCUGGCUCUCCCACCUCUCUUUGAGCAGUUUUGUGCAAAUACUGACUGGAUCCCUUGCCUGGAGGAUAUUUAUUUCAAUUUGUCCUAAUGAUGAUCCAGCACAUUUCCCAAGUGUCGCUCCAUAAAUGUCCAGAGGAUUUCUCGAUUUCACAAUCUGUGGUUGUUCUUCUGGUUCCUCACUCACUGCACUUGCUUUCUGUUUGAAAGCUUAGUCUGCAAUUGGAGAAUACAAACAGGUCCACAUCCAGCUCUGACAGUCACUUUGUUUAUCACAAACCAGUUACCUCAGGAUUUUGAACAUUGGAGGAAAAAGCAGCAUUCACACUGGGGAGAAAUGCACAUGGUCUGUAAAGAGUCUGUGAAGAUUCAUCUGAAAUGUCCGAGCACCAGCGCAGUGACACUGGAGAGAGACUGUGGAAAUGUGCAGAUUGCAGGAAUGAAUUUUUUAAUCCAUCCCAGCUAGAAACUGACCACCAGAGUCACACUGGAGAGAAACCAUUCACCUGCUCUGAUUGUGGAAUGGGAUUCACUCAGUCCUCUAACCUGCUUAAACACCAGUGAGUUCGCACUGUAGAGAAACCAUUUGCAUGAAAUGUGGGAAAGCAUUCACUCAGACAUCUCAACCGCUGAUGCACGAGCGAAUUCACACUGGAGAGAGACCGUUGGCCUGUUCUGUGUGAGGGAAAGGCUUUGCUGACUCGAAUUGCCCGCUGAUCCACCAGCGACUUCACUCUGGGGAGUGACCAUUCGUCUGCUCCCAGUGUGGGAAGGGAUUCACUUGCUCACCUAACCUACAGAGCGUUCACACUGGGGAGAAACCAUUCACCUGCUCUAAAUCUGUGAAAGCAUUCACUUGGUCAUCCUACCUGCUUGUGUUCCAGCAGGUUCACACUGGGGAGAACCCAUUCAUGAGCUCUGACUGGGGAAAGCAUUCACUCAGUUAUCCAAACUGUUAACACACCAGUGAGUUCACAAAGAAGCACAGUUGAAGGAUUUUGCUGUCACUCUCACUAUCAAGUGAACCGUGUUUUUGGGCUGUAUUUACUGAUGUUACUGAUCCCUGCUCAAUUAAAAGUACAGGGAGCGAUGGACUUGAACCUCCCAAUCUCCUGAACACCUUUGAGAAUUUCAUCAAACUGACGCCCAGUGGCAGGAAUGGACAGGGUCAGCUUGGAUUGAUGGUCAUAAUUCAGGCUCAACAAAUCUACUGGACCAUUUUGGGAAUGAAAUUAGUGGUGAGUGUGGCCACCUCUCUGUACUGUAGUGAUACAGAUCCCCUGAUCCCGAUUGUCUCAAAUGGCUGACUGACAGUGUCGAAGUCCCUGGGCUGAUAUCGAAUGAUUCCUUGGCCAUGCUGUGUCAGGAUCUCCUGACUGAAUACUAUUCCCCCUUGCCCUGACUGAGAACUGUUUCCCUGAGAAUUUGAGACGUGCCCAUUUGGUCGAAACACGUGUUUGUUGCCACAGGUGCUGACCACCCCUUGACUGACUGCUGGUAAUAACAAUGCUAAGCUGCCUGGCUUAUGCCUGCGAUAAACACCAGGCAAGACAGGAGCACUGUGAGGCAUUAAGUUCUAGUUGAAACAUCAAAGUGCAAAAAUGUCAGGGAAGGGCAGAGAUAUUGCGGCAUAACUCCUGUCAGGUGCUGAAAAGCUUGUAGAGUUCUUAGAGCAAGAAUGUACUUUGUGGACAGGCAAUUCUGCAUCUUGAUUUAGCAUUUUUAUUUAACUCUGGCUCAUUUUGCUAGAUUUGUAAAUAUCUCUCGGUCUGGCUAAUGUGAGAAUUGGCUUUCGGAGUAAUGUGCCACUGACUGUCAUUCACAGUUGUAUCUCGCAUCAGUGAAUUGGUAAUCUGAUUAAGCUCACAGGCCUUGGCAUGAGAAAAAUAAAGCAGUCACAUGCACACUUG
This is a long non-coding RNA of Stegostoma tigrinum, 2432 nucleotides long. RefSeq lists it as uncharacterized. The record is from RefSeq and is a predicted model, not a curated record. NCBI's taxonomy places the organism in Eukaryota, Metazoa, Chordata, Chondrichthyes, Orectolobiformes, Stegostomatidae. The transcript is spliced from 5 exons.